AGAGUUUGAUCCUGGCUCAGAAUCAACGCUGGCGGCGCGCCUAACACAUGCAAGUCGAACGAGAAAGCCCGCAAGGGUGAGUACAGUGGCGUACGGGUGAGUAACACGUGGAUAAUCUACCCUCUAGUGGGGAAUACCGUUGGGAAACCGACGACAAUACCGCAUAAUCUCGAGAGAGGAAAGCAGCAAUGCGCUGGAGGAGGAGUCCGCGGCUGAUUAGCUAGUUGGUGAGGUAAUGGCUCACCAAGGCUCAGAUCAGUAGCCGGCCUGAGAGGGCACACGGCCACACUGGCACUGAAACACGGGCCAGACUCCUACGGGAGGCAGCAGUGGGGAAUCUUGCACAAUGGGGGAAACCCUGAUGCAGCGACGUCGCGUGAGCGAUGAAGCCCUUCGGGGUGUAAAGCUCUUUCGGCAGGGAAGAUUAUGACGGUACCUGCAGAAGCAGCUGCGGCUAACUACGUGCCAGCAGCCGCGGUAAUACGUAGGCAGCAAGCGUUGUUCGGAGUUACUGGGCGUAAAGGGUGUGUAGGCGGUUGGAUAAGAGUGGUGUGAAAUCUCCCGGCUUAACUGGGAGGGUGCGCUACAGACUGUCUGACUAGAGUAUGGGAUGGGAGAGUGGAAUUCCUGGUGUAGCGGUGAAAUGCGUAGAUAUCAGGAGGAACACCGGUGGUGUAGACGGCUCUCUGGACCAUUACUGACGCUGAGACACGAAAGCGUGGGUAGCAAACAGGAUUAGAUACCCUGGUAGUCCACGCCCUAAACGAUGCAUAUUUGGUGUGGGCCAUUCAUUUGGUCCGUGCCGGAGCUAACGCGUUAAAUAUGCCGCCUGGGGAGUACAGUCGCAAGGCUGAAACUCAAAGGAAUUGACGGGGGCCCGCACAAGCGGUGGAGCAUGUGGUUCAAUUCGACGCAACGCGAAGAACCUUACCUAGGCUCGAACGGCUUUAGACAUCCCCAGAAACGGGGACUUCCCGCAAGGGACUGGAGUCGAGGUGCUGCAU
Molecule: ribosomal RNA, 1004 nt
Filed under: uncultured bacterium
Lineage: Bacteria
Description: bacterial SSU rRNA
Rfam family: Bacterial small subunit ribosomal RNA
Source: RNAcentral